This is a long non-coding RNA of Gymnogyps californianus (California condor), 412 nucleotides long. RefSeq lists it as uncharacterized. NCBI's taxonomy places the organism in Eukaryota, Metazoa, Chordata, Aves, Accipitriformes, Cathartidae. The record is from RefSeq and is a predicted model, not a curated record. The transcript is spliced from 4 exons.
AGAGGGCUUGACACAUACUUUACAUCCUGCAUUUACUCUGACCACAGUCCCUCCCUGUUCUCACAAGCGGAGCUCAGCCCUGCUUCCCUUCCUGUUGAUUCCCGGUCAGCUACAUGACUGCCUGAAGUUACAUUGUAGAUGCUGAAAUCACUGCACCUUAAAAACAAAAAGAUUAAGCUGCACUGCAUUCCUCAGUGGUUGGCAGUUUUCCUCAACUUUGCAAGAAAGAGAGAGAUUUGGUUGGAAUGAAACCUUGCUCUCCGUACAGCCUGCUUGAGAUGCAGCAUUGAAAGAUCACUCACGAUCAGUUUGUGGCCUUCCUCUGAAGGAGCCUUUCCUGUCUCUUGUGUAAGUAUUUAUACCAAACAUUUUAUACUUUUCAUUGAUAUGAGUUGUGCAUUUUGUUCAAGUU